GACGAACGCUGGCGGCGUGCUUAACACAUGCAAGUCGAACGGAAAGGCCCUGCUUUUGUGGGGUGCUCGAGUGGCGAACGGGUGAGUAACACGUGAGUAACCUGCCCUUGACUUUGGGAUAACUUCAGGAAACUGGGGCUAAUACCGGAUAGGAGCUCCUGCUGCAUGGUGGUGGUUGGAAAGUUUCGGCGGUUGGGGAUGGACUCGCGGCUUAUCAGCUUGUUGGUGGGGUAGUGGCUUACCAAGGCUUUGACGGGUAGCCGGCCUGAGAGGGGGACCGGCCACAUUGGGACUGAGAUACGGCCCAGACUCCUACGGGAGGCAGCAGUGGGGAAUAUUGCACAAUGGGCGGAAGCCUGAUGCAGCAACGCCGCGUGCGGGAUGACGGCCUUCGGGUUGUAAACCGCUUUCGCAUGUGACGAAGCGUGAGUGACGGUAAUGGGUAAAGAAGCACCGGCUAACUACGUG
Molecule: ribosomal RNA, 468 nt
Filed under: uncultured bacterium
Lineage: Bacteria
Description: partial 16S ribosomal RNA
Rfam family: Bacterial small subunit ribosomal RNA
Source: RNAcentral